AUUCCUACGGGGCGCAGCAGUAGGGAAUCUUCCACAAUGGGCGAAAGCCUGAUGGAGCAACGCCGCGUGUGUGAUGAAGGGUUUCGGCUCGUAAAACACUGUUGUAAGAGAAGAAUGACAUUGAGAGUAACUGUUCAAUGUGUGACGGUAUCUUACCAGAAAGGAACGGCUAAAUACGUGCCAGCAGCCGCGGUAAUACGUAUGUUCCAAGCGCUAUCCGGAUUUAUUGGGCGUAACGCGAGCGCAGACGGUUAUUUAAGUCUGAAGUGAAAGCCCUCAGCUCAACUGAGGAAUUGCUUUGGAAA
This 305-nucleotide ribosomal RNA is filed under the name uncultured bacterium. Its description in RNAcentral is "bacterial SSU rRNA". It matches the Rfam family "Bacterial small subunit ribosomal RNA", at positions 335 to 632 of the family's 1533-position model. The record is from RNAcentral.